This 256-nucleotide ribosomal RNA is filed under the name uncultured bacterium. RNAcentral's name for it is "partial 16S ribosomal RNA". It matches the Rfam family "Bacterial small subunit ribosomal RNA", at positions 524 to 776 of the family's 1533-position model. The record is from RNAcentral.
UACGGAGGGUGGCAGCGUUGUCCGGAAUCAUUGGGCGUAAAGGGCGCGUAGGUGGCUUCUUAAGCGUGCGGUGAAAGCCUGGGGCUCAACCCCCGGGGUCGGCCGUGCGAACUGGGGGGGCUGGAGCACUGUAGAGGCAGGCGGAAUUCCGCGUGUAGCAGUGAAAUGCGUAGAGAUGCGGAGGAACACCGAUGGCGAAGGCAGCCCCCUGGGCUGACACUGACGCUCAGGCACGAAAGCGUGGGGAGCAAACAGG